CAGCUUCUCUGAGCUGAAGAGGCAGAUGAGGCAGUGCAGGGUGGAGCUGCAGAGGGGAGAGGAGAUCCAGAGGCGUACCGUGGAGAGACGGAGGGAGUGUCUGGCACUACACUUCACUGACUGGAGGCGCCAAGCCGACCACACAUUCUCUCUGCACCUGGUGCGGAAUGCUCUACUCAGCUUCAAGGAGGUCCUUCAUUCCAGAAGUUUAUAUGAUCAGUUGGCCUGGGACCUGAACACCGAUGAUGCUGGCACACCUGACUCACUACAGCAAGACCAAUUUGUCCAUUAUGUGUGUCAGUAUGUCUAGGGGCUCUCUGAGGAGCAGUUCCAGCUGUUUCUGGAACAUCUCUCCCUGUGUAGCCGGGAACACGGCUGUGCUGAGAAUUUGAGGCACUGGACAGAGACACUCUCUCAGGCCUCUUCCCACUGUGACUGUGCUAAGACUGGGUGUCUGGACCUAUAGAGUGUUGUUCCUUCUGCUGAGUUUCUAUCAUGAUCAGAAUGAGAGCACACAGGAGUCCAUGCAUGAUCUUAACAACUCAUGGUGAGCCACCUCUCUCCAGCUGCUCUGUCAUCUCUCUGGGACAAUUCCAGGCCUUACUGAGGGCUUUCCUGGUGGAGCUGCGAGGGGGCAAGGACAGGGUAGAGGGGCAACCAGGCAGGCCUGGCUGCAGGGGAUUGGGAGAGCAGCCCAAAGAGGUUCAGCCCAGAUGGAGCCUGUUUAUGGGGACGUGUUUAGCGCCGUGCUCAGAGCAGGAUGGUGUGGCAGGAUGGUGUGGCAGGAUGCAGAGGUGAAUGUGGAGGGGAAGCUGUUGAGUGUCUCUGUAGCCCUGCUGGAGGAAGAGGGCUCUAGGCAGCGUUAUGUGGCCUAUACUACUACUGAGGAUGCCCGGCUGGUUCUCAACAAGAUGCCCCAGCCACACCAGGCCCCUGUCAGGGCGGUGACUACUCUCUGAGGAAGAUGAUGGUGAUGGAGGGUGGUUCUAGUCGCUCCCAUUGGCUCUCCCCUCCUCCUACCUUAUGCCGCUCAGAUCACUUCUCCAGUGCUGUGACACCUCCCAGAUUGGGCACUAUGUGUUGUUUGGGGCGUACUGGUGCUCCCUGUGAGGGACACAGCUGGAUGGGCCCUGGGAGUGGUGGACAUGGAGUUAGAAACCCUCUCACCGGGCCACCAGGGGGGGCUGCAGCCUCACGAGCGCAGGGACCUGUCUGCUGCAGGGGCUGCCUGUGUUCAGCUGUACAGAGCGAGCCUGAGCGGAGCAGGCAACACACUGCUGGGUGAGAGGCAUGGUGGUAGGGGAAAGGUAAGAGGCCAAACUAAAAAACAGUAGGACCAUACUGAUCAUUACUGGUCAUACAACAUACAUACAGUGCGUAUUACAUACACUCCUGCAGUUUUUUAUGGAACCAGUAGUCGUACACAAAAGUUUCAUUACCAAGACUUGCCAAAAAAUUGGCUAAUUAAUUAAUUGCUAAUCUAAGACAAUAUUUAUCUUCUACAGAGGCGGAGGCCCUGGGAGGGGAGCGGCGGGCGUCCAUCUUGUUCCUAUGUUUCACACUGGAGCACCUGCGCCAUCGCUGUCUGUCCUGACUGGACCAACCAAUUAUAGUGGAGCUCCUUAGCUCCCAGGAUACACCUCACCACCUCCCUGUCAGUCAAGGUGUGAAGGUGGUGCUUCUAGUGCUGUACCCUGAGAGGAAGGGCUCUGUCCAUGUAGACGAUUGGGGCCAAAUUAAGAAGAUGGUGAGCUCUGACCUGGGCUACAGGCUGGCCAGGUUUGACCCCUUAGCCAAGGCAGUGAGAGUGGACAGGGAGCUGGUCCACAGCUGCAUAGCAGGGCCAUGCCUCAGGACUACCUGGCAUGAUGACUCCUUGCUGUCCCCAGUCCACCUGGCCGUGCUGCUGCUCCAGUUUCAACUUUUCCGCCUGCGGCUAUAGAACCCUGACCUGUUCACCAGACAUGCUACCUGUCCCAGACCUGCUGUUUUCAACUCUCUAGAGAGUGGUAGAGAUACUCUCAAUGAUCGGCUAUGAAAAGCCAACUGACAUUUACUCUUGAGGUGCUGACUUGUUGCACCCUCGACAACUACUGUGAAUAUUAUUAUUUGACCAUGCUAGUCAUUUAUGAACAUUUGAACAUCUUAGCCAUGUUCUGUUAUAAUCUCCACUCGGCACAGCCAGAAGAGAACUGGCCACCCCUCAUAGCCUGGUUCCUCUCUAGGUUUCUUCCUCGGUUUUGGCCUUUCUAGGGAGUUUUUCCUAGCCACUGUGCUUCUACACCUGCAUUACUUGCUGUUUGGGGUUUUAGGCAGGGUUUCUGUACAGCACUUUGAGAUAUCAGCUGAUGUAAGAAGGGCUAUAUAAAUUGAUUUGAUUUGAUUUGAUGUUUGAAUCCCCGAGCUGACUAGGUGUAAAAUCUGUUCAUGUGCCCUUGAGCAAGGCACUUAACCAUAAUUGCUCCUUUAAGUCGCUCUGGAUAAGAGCAUCUGCUAAAUGACUCAAAUGUAAAUGUACUCAAUGGAGAGCAGUUUAAUGGAGUAAUACAUCUAAUCAAUUAUCAUUUUAGCUGCAGCGUAGGUUGUGUCUGAGUGGGUGGAGACCUGUGGAUGGGCAUAGAGUCAGUGUGGAUAGUCUGUGGGAGAGGAGCAGUAGUUGGCCAUUUAACAGUCUUAUGGCCAGGGGAUAGAAGCUGUUUAGGAGUCUGUUUGUCUGAGCCUUGAUGCACCAUUACCGCCUCCCGGACGGGAGCACGGAGAACAGUCCAUGUCCUAGGUGGCCUUUCUCAGACACUGCCUGGCAUGUACAUCCUGGAUGGCUGGGAGCUCGCCUCGGUGAUGUGCUGGGCCAUCUGCAACACGCUCUGUAGGGCCUUCCAGUUGCGGGCGGUGCAGUUGUCAUACCAGAUGGGGUGAUUACAACCAGUCAGGAUGCUCUCAAUGGUGCACCUGUAAAAUUUCCUGAGGAUCUGAGAGGCCAUGCCAAAUAGUUUCAGCCUCCUGAGGGAGAAGAGGCGUUGCCAUGCCUUCAUGAUUGUUCUGGUGGCACUAAAGAGAAUGACCAUGCUAGUAAGGGUAAAAAAGCCUAUAGCAUUCUCAACAUAUACUGUACAUGUAGAUGAUCAACUUACUCUAUCCCUCUCUCUUCCUUUCUUUGCCUGAGAAACUUAAGAGCUGAGACCUCCGGCAAACAAGCAGCAUUGUAUUGGCACAGUUACUUUGCUACAGUGCCAGUAUUUGAACAAGCUCCCUUGUGAUGUUCUCCCA
RNAcentral lists this long non-coding RNA (3267 nucleotides) under Salmo salar (Atlantic salmon). RNAcentral's name for it is "lncRNA (ENSSSAG00000094586.1)". The record is from RNAcentral. Lineage: Eukaryota; Metazoa; Chordata; Actinopteri; Salmoniformes; Salmonidae.